Molecule: ribosomal RNA, 253 nt
Filed under: uncultured bacterium
Lineage: Bacteria
Description: partial 16S ribosomal RNA
Rfam family: Bacterial small subunit ribosomal RNA
Source: RNAcentral
UACGUAGGGGGCUAGCGUUGUCCGGAUUUAUUGGGCGUAAAGAGCGUGUAGGCGGCCAGGUAGGUCUGCUGUGAAAACUCGAGGCUUAACCUCGAGAUGUCGGCGGAAACCAUCUGGCUAGAGUCCGGAAGAGGAGAGUGGAAUUCCUGGUGUAGCGGUGAAAUGCGCAGAUAUCAGGAAGAACACCAGUGGCGAAGGCGAAUCCCUGGAAAAUACCUGACACUGAGGCACGAAAGCUAGGGGAGCAAACAGG